UAUGAGUUGAAGGAUACUGGUGGAUCACUUUCGGGAAACCUCUGCUGACUGUCUUCUACCUGUGUUGCAGAUUUUUGAUGACAUGUGAGGAGUGCUGUCAGUCUUGCACCUUGCUAUCAAAACCAUUUCCCAGUGCAUCAGUGACAGUCUUUUCAUUGACCUAAAUGUGGACUGGGUCAGGCCCUUCGUGACCUCUAAGUUAAUUCACACACACUGCUGAGAAAUAAGGGGAGGUAUCAUGAAGAUAACUGAGGCAUAGAAUCAUAGGCACCAUGAAAGGAAAUCCUGAGGAAGGGUCUAACUUGGGAAGAAGUGGCUGAGAUGGCCUCUUCAGCUUUGAAGUGUCACCCCCAAUGCAGUGCUGGAUUUGAUGGGAUGGAUUUUCAUAUCCUUGUUCAGGAAGUGUUCCCGAACUGACAUGGAUCAAGCCAGACUUCAUUACCAGGCAAAAAUAAUCAACUGAUCAGGUAUACGUGAACAGCGUUACCAAGAAGACUCCCUCACAUAAAUGAAUCGUACAGGUAGGAUGCUGAUUUUAUGAAUUUUAUGAAUACUAGUACUUAAUACUAGUACUUUAGUAU
Gopherus agassizii (Agassiz's desert tortoise) is the source of this 581-nucleotide long non-coding RNA. Lineage: Eukaryota; Metazoa; Chordata; Testudines; Testudinidae. The record is from Ensembl.